This is a small nucleolar RNA of Acanthochromis polyacanthus (spiny chromis), 139 nucleotides long. The record is from Ensembl. NCBI's taxonomy places the organism in Eukaryota, Metazoa, Chordata, Actinopteri, Pomacentridae.
UAACAGGCUCCUAUCGAAGCCGUUCAUGCUCUUAUGUAGCAGUGAACGGUCAAACGGAAGCCGAGAUGAAGACUUCCACCGACGGUCGCUGUUCAGUUCAACUGUAACUGCUCCAGCAACAUUUAGGGGAAGGACACUU